Musa acuminata subsp. malaccensis (wild Malaysian banana) is the source of this 364-nucleotide long non-coding RNA. RefSeq lists it as uncharacterized. The record is from RefSeq and is a predicted model, not a curated record. NCBI's taxonomy places the organism in Eukaryota, Viridiplantae, Streptophyta, Magnoliopsida, Zingiberales, Musaceae.
ACCAACAUCCAUCCCCAAUCUCUUCCGGUGGCAGCCACUCACUCCAUCAUUCUUUUCACGAUCACUUCCUUCCACCACCAUGAAUGACCCGAGGUAUGCCUACCCGUACCCUGCUCAAGGUUAUUAUCAGGGGCCGCCAGUGAUGGCACCACCUCAGUAUGCAGCUCCACCACCAAGAAGAGAGCCGGGUUUUCUCGAAGGAUGCCUCGCUGCUCUGUGCUGUUGCUGUCUGAUAGACGAGUGCUGCUGCGAUCCAUCCGUCAUAUGCGUCGGCUGAAUACCUUCUUUCGAUAGCAUAUCCAUGCAUCUCAUCAUGUGAACAUUUGCAGCUCUAAUAACAUAUCCAUAUCAUGAUGCUGUUGUU